UGCCGCCACCCCCGCCGCCGACUCCACCUGACAGAACACCAUAAGCUCAUCCUCGCACCAGCGUAGGUAGUCGUCGUUGAACCCGUAAGCUGACGCCCUGACGAUGGUGUGUGCAGAGCCGCGGACGCCUUUCGGUGGGAAGCGGCAGUAGGAAACUGCGAGCUCGGCUUCCUGAGCUGACUCGAUCAUCGGGAACAUGACUCCUUGAGGGCCGAUGUCGAGGGCCUUCUUGGCCCAGGAGGCGGAGAGCUCUGGGACGCGGAUGAUGACAGGGGUGCCGGUGGCGGCGAGUGCGCGGAGGCAGGUGAGGGCGUCGGGGACACCGCCGGGGCCGUGCUCCAUGUCGACAACGACGUAGUCGUAUCCGGAGAGGCCGACGAUUUCAGCGAGGGUGGGGGAGUUGCUGAGGAGGAAGAUACCGUAGAGGGUGUCGCCGGCGGCGAGUCGGGAUUUGAGGGUGAGGGGGGACGGUUUGGAG
Molecule: unclassified non-coding RNA, 478 nt
Filed under: Hevea brasiliensis (rubber tree)
Lineage: Eukaryota; Viridiplantae; Streptophyta; Magnoliopsida; Malpighiales; Euphorbiaceae
Source: RNAcentral